AGUGAACGCUGGCGGUAGGCCUAACACAUGCAAGUCGAACGGCAGCACAGUAAGAGCUUGCUCUUACGGGUGGCGAGUGGCGGACGGGUGAGGAAUACAUCGGAAUCUACUUUUUCGUGGGGGAUAACGUAGGGAAACUUACGCUAAUACCGCAUACGACCUACGGGUGAAAGCAGGGGAUCUUCGGACCUUGCGCGAUUGAAUGAGCCGAUGUCGGAUUAGCUAGUUGGCGGGGUAAAGACCCACCAAGGCGACGAUCCGUAGCUGGUCUGAGAGGAUGAUCAGCCACACUGGAACUGAGACACGGUCCAGACUCCUACGGGAGGCAGCAGUGGGGAAUAUUGGACAAUGGGCGCAAGCCUGAUCCAGCCAUACCGCGUGGGUGAAGAAGGCCUUCGGGUUGUAAAGCCCUUUUGUUGGGAAAGAAAAGCAGCAGGUUAAUACCCCGCUGUUCUGACGGUACCCAAAGAAUAAGCACCGGCUAACUUCGU
Molecule: ribosomal RNA, 491 nt
Filed under: uncultured bacterium
Lineage: Bacteria
Description: partial 16S ribosomal RNA
Rfam family: Bacterial small subunit ribosomal RNA
Source: RNAcentral